RNAcentral lists this ribosomal RNA (1888 nucleotides) under soil metagenome. RNAcentral describes it as "bacterial LSU rRNA". It matches the Rfam family "Bacterial large subunit ribosomal RNA", at positions 1 to 2021 of the family's 2925-position model. The record is from RNAcentral.
UCAAGCGUUGAAGGGCUUCUGACGGAUGCCUUGGCGUAGAGAGGCGAUGAAGGACGUGGCAAGCUGCGAUAAGAGCCGGGGAGGCGCUAGCACCCUUUGAUCCGGCUAUUUCCGAAUGGGGAAACCCACCUUUGCGGUCUUCCAACUCUGCUCUUCUGGGCAGCGAUUGGCGGAUCGCUAAAAGGUACAAUGACCUGAAUACAUAGGGUUCAUUGAGCGAACCCGGGGAACUGAAACAUCUCAGUACCCGGAGGAAAGGACAUCAACCGAGACUCCCGUAGUAGUGGCGAGCGAACCGGGACCAGGCCAGUGCUCUUGUGAAAUAAAGUCGAACGGAAUGGAAAGUCCGGCCAUAGCGGGUGACAGCCCCGUAGACGUCAAACAGCAAGAGACUCGAGUAGGGCGGGACACGUGAAAUCCUGUCUGAACAUGGGGGGACCACCCUCCAAGCCUAAGUACUCCUCUACGACCGAUAGUGAACAAGUACCGUGAGGGAAAGGUGAAAAGCACCCCGACAAGGGGAGUGAAACAGAUCCUGAAAUCGGAAGCCUACAAGCAGUCGGAGCCGCCAAGCGCGGUGACGGCGUACCUUUUGUAUAAUGGGUCAGCGACUUCAUGUGUCGAGCAAGCUUAAGCCGUUAGGUGUAGGCGCAGCGAAAGCGAGUCUGAAUAGGGCGCUAAGUUCGACGUAUGACGACCCGAAACCAGGUGAUCUAUCCAUGAGCAGGAUGAAGGUAAGGUAACACUUACUGGAGGUCCGAACCCGUGAAUGUUGAAAAAUUCUGGGAUGACUUGUGGAUAGGGGUGAAAGGCCAAUCAAACCUGGACAUAGCUGGUUCUCCGCGAAAUCUAUUUAGGUAGAGCGUCCGACGAAUACCCUGGGGGGUAGAGCACUGGAUGGUUGCGGGCUGCGCGAGCGGUACCAAUACUAACCAAACUCCGAAUACCCAGGAGUACUAUCGGGCAGACACACGGCGGGUGCUAACGUCCGUCGUGAAAAGGGAAACAACCCUAACCAUCAUCUAAGGCCCCCAAGUCAUGGCUAAGUGGGAAACGAUGUGGGAUUGCUUUGACAAUCAGGAGGUUGGCUUAGAAGCAGCCAUCCUUUAAAGAAAGCGUAACAGCUCACUGAUCAAGCGAUCCUGCGCGGAAAAUGUAACGGGGCUAAAGCCAUGCGCCGAAGAUAUGGGUUUGCAGUUUACUGCAAGCGGUAGCGGAGCGUUCCGUAAGCCUGUGAAGGUCAACCGUGAGGUUGGCUGGAGGUAUCGGAAGUGAGAAUGCUGACAUGAGUAACGAUAAACAGUGUGAGAAACACUGUCGCCGAAAGACCAAGGGUUCCUGCGUAAAGCUAAUCUGCGCAGGGUUAGUCGGCCCCUAAGGCGAGGCUGAAAAGCGUAGUCGAUGGGAAGCAGGUAAAUAUUCCUGCACCAGCUGGAAGUGACGGAUGGCAUAAGUCGUCGGGGCUUAUUGGAUUGUUCCCGGCGGUGGCGUUGUCCCUGGAAAUAACUCCAGCAGAGACCGUACCCGAAACCGACACAGGUGGUCAGGUAGAGUAUACCAAGGCGCUUGAGAGAACUGUGCUGAAGGAACUCGGCAAAUUGCACGCGUAACUUCGGAAAAAGCGUGACUCACCCUGGGCAACCAGGAAUGAGUGGCACAAGCCAGGGGGUAGCGACUGUUUAGCAAAAACAUAGGGCUCUGCGAAGCAUCAAUGCGACGUAUAGGGUCUGACGCCUGCCCGGUGCCUGAAGGUUAAAGGGAGGAGUGAAAGCUCCGAACUGAAGCCCAGGUAAACGGCGGCCGUAACUAUAACGGUCCUAAGGUAGCGAAAUUCCUUGUCGGGUAAGUUCCGACCUGCACGAAUGGCGUAACGACUUCCCCACUGUCU